CCAGCCAUCUACACCACCUUGAAUGUGCUGGAUCUUGUCUGAUCCCAGAAGCUAAGCAGGGUUGAGUCUGGUUAGUGCUUGGAUGGGAGACCACCUGUGAAUACCAGGUGCU
This is a non-coding RNA of Otolemur garnettii (small-eared galago), 112 nucleotides long. Lineage: Eukaryota; Metazoa; Chordata; Mammalia; Primates; Galagidae. The record is from Rfam.